This 120-nucleotide microRNA precursor is filed under the name Picea abies (Norway spruce). RNAcentral's name for it is "miR482o stem-loop (pab-MIR482o)". Its record names the gene pab-MIR482o. Lineage: Eukaryota; Viridiplantae; Streptophyta; Pinopsida; Pinales; Pinaceae. The record is from miRBase by way of RNAcentral.
ACAGGGAUGCUGUGCAGUGUGGGGCAUUAGGCCUGGGACGAUUGGAAAGACUUGGUCUAUUUUCUCCGCUUAGUCUUCCCAACCCCUCCCAUGCCUAUAUUCCCCACUGCACAUCCCUGU